CCUACGGCUGGCAGCAGUGAGGAAUAUUGGUCAAUGGACGGAAGUCUGACCCAGCCACGCCGCGUGCAGGAAGAAGGCUCUAUGAGUUGUAACCUGCUUUUGUACAAGGGUAAACCUGAAUACGUGUAUUCAGCUGAAAGUACUGUACGAAUAAGGAUAGGCUAACUCCGUGCCAGCAGCCGCGGUAAUACGGAGGAUCCAAGCGUUAUCCGGAUGUAUUGGGUUUAAAGGGUGCGUAGGCGGAUUGAUAAGUUAGAUGUGAAAUGUCCGAGCUUAACUCGGGAACUGCCUCUAAUACUGUUGAUCUAGAGAGUAGGUGAGGUAGGCGGAAUGUAUGGUGUAGCGGGGAAAUGCUUAGAGAUCAGACAGAACACCGGUUGCGAAGGCGGCUUACCAAACUAUAACUGACGUUGAGGCACGAAAGCGUGGGGAGCAAACAGGAUUAGAUACCCCAGUAGUC
Molecule: ribosomal RNA, 460 nt
Filed under: uncultured bacterium
Lineage: Bacteria
Description: partial 16S ribosomal RNA
Rfam family: Bacterial small subunit ribosomal RNA
Source: RNAcentral